RNAcentral lists this ribosomal RNA (1506 nucleotides) under Escherichia coli. Its description in RNAcentral is "bacterial SSU rRNA". It matches the Rfam family "Bacterial small subunit ribosomal RNA". The record is from RNAcentral. Lineage: Bacteria; Pseudomonadati; Pseudomonadota; Gammaproteobacteria; Enterobacterales; Enterobacteriaceae.
UAACACAUGCAAGUCGAACGGUAACAGGAAACAGCUUGCUGUUUCGCUGACGAGUGGCGGACGGGUGAGUAAUGUCUGGGAAACUGCCUGAUGGAGGGGGAUAACUACUGGAAACGGUAGCUAAUACCGCAUAAUGUCGCAAGACCAAAGAGGGGGACCUUCGGGCCUCUUGCCAUCGGAUGUGCCCAGAUGGGAUUAGCUAGUAGGUGGGGUAACGGCUCACCUAGGCGACGAUCCCUAGCUGGUCUGAGAGGAUGACCAGCCACACUGGAACUGAGACACGGUCCAGACUCCUACGGGAGGCAGCAGUGGGGAAUAUUGCACAAUGGGCGCAAGCCUGAUGCAGCCAUGCCGCGUGUAUGAAGAAGGCCUUCGGGUUGUAAAGUACUUUCAGCGGGGAGGAAGGGAGUAAAGUUAAUACCUUUGCUCAUUGACGUUACCCGCAGAAGAAGCACCGGCUAACUCCGUGCCAGCAGCCGCGGUAAUACGGAGGGUGCAAGCGUUAAUCGGAAUUACUGGGCGUAAAGCGCACGCAGGCGGUUUGUUAAGUCAGAUGUGAAAUCCCCGGGCUCAACCUGGGAACUGCAUCUGAUACUGGCAAGCUUGAGUCUCGUAGAGGGGGGUAGAAUUCCAGGUGUAGCGGUGAAAUGCGUAGAGAUCUGGAGGAAUACCGGUGGCGAAGGCGGCCCCCUGGACGAAGACUGACGCUCAGGUGCGAAAGCGUGGGGAGCAAACAGGAUUAGAUACCCUGGUAGUCCACGCCGUAAACGAUGUCGACUUGGAGGUUGUGCCCUUGAGGCGUGGCUUCCGGAGCUAACGCGUUAAGUCGACCGCCUGGGGAGUACGGCCGCAAGGUUAAAACUCAAAUGAAUUGACGGGGGCCCGCACAAGCGGUGGAGCAUGUGGUUUAAUUCGAUGCAACGCGAAGAACCUUACCUGGUCUUGACAUCCACAGAACUUUCCAGAGAUGGAUUGGUGCCUUCGGGAACUGUGAGACAGGUGCUGCAUGGCUGUCGUCAGCUCGUGUUGUGAAAUGUUGGGUUAAGUCCCGCAACGAGCGCAACCCUUAUCCUUUGUUGCCAGCGGUCCGGCCGGGAACUCAAAGGAGACUGCCAGUGAUAAACUGGAGGAAGGUGGGGAUGACGUCAAGUCAUCAUGGCCCUUACGACCAGGGCUACACACGUGCUACAAUGGCGCAUACAAAGAGAAGCGACCUCGCGAGAGCAAGCGGACCUCAUAAAGUGCGUCGUAGUCCGGAUUGGAGUCUGCAACUCGACUCCAUGAAGUCGGAAUCGCUAGUAAUCGUGGAUCAGAAUGCCACGGUGAAUACGUUCCCGGGCCUUGUACACACCGCCCGUCACACCAUGGGAGUGGGUUGCAAAAGAAGUAGGUAGCUUAACCUUCGGGAGGGCGCUUACCACUUUGUGAUUCAUGACUGGGGUGAAGUCGUAACAAGGUAACCGUAGGGGAACCUGCGGUUGGAUCACCUCCUUACCUUAAAGAAGC